GACGAACGCUGGCGGCGUGCUUAACACAUGCAAGUCGAACGGAAAGGCCCCUUUGGGGGUCCUCGAGUGGCGAACGGGUGAGUAACACGUGAGUAACCUGCCCUUGACUUCGGGAUAACUUCAGGAAACUGGGGCUAAUACCGGAUAGGAAUCCUUGCUGCAUGGUGGGGGUUGGAAAGCUUCGGCGGUUUUGGAUGGACUCGCGGCGUAUCAGCUUGUUGGUGGGGUAGUGGCUUACCAAGGCUUUGUCGGGUAGCCGGCCUGGGAGGGCGACCGGCCACAUUGGGACUGAGAUACGGCCCAGACUCCUACGGGAGGCAGCAGUGGGGAAUAUUGCACAAUGGGCGGAAGCCUGAUGCAGCAACGCCGCGUGCGGGAGGACGGCCUUCGGGUUGUAAACCGCUUUCAGCAGGGGCGAAGCUUGUGGUGACGGUACCUGCAGAAGAAGCACCGGCUAACUACGUG
Molecule: ribosomal RNA, 465 nt
Filed under: uncultured bacterium
Lineage: Bacteria
Description: partial 16S ribosomal RNA
Rfam family: Bacterial small subunit ribosomal RNA
Source: RNAcentral